AUUAAACACAAUUGGGAAUUGUGCCAGAAAUGGAUUAUUCAUUACUUCUAAUAACUAAUAACCAGGUGCCUCCGGUCAAGUUAAUUUGCUGAUAAAAGGCAAUGCAUGUUACUGUGGAGAGUGCAUGUAAAAAGUGAGUGUGAGAGUAAGCAGUACGAAUGGGGGACAAACCUCUUGGUCUUUCUCUGUCCUUCUUUAUUUACACAUUUAUUUUUAUCUUUUGCCUUACUCUGCCAAAGCAUUUCUAACUAUAUAACAGGUCAAAUAAUAACCCAGAUUCAGAGUGACAUUGCAGCAUACCAUGCAAAAAUGUUUGAGUUCAAUCUUUAAAUAAAUUGGAUUUUGAGCUGUAUCAACAGUUCUGACAAUCAUCCUGAUCAUGUUUAGUAAAUAGAUAAUCAAAAAGUUAAAUAGCAUGCAUCUUAACUUUUUUUUAACAAUAUCUGCAGGUUAAAGGGGAAGUUAAGGAUUUUUAAAGUAAGGGCUCCAUUCAAAGGUUACAACAGUUAAUAUCUUACCUGCAGUAGAAACUUCUCUUAGUAUCUUCAUUUAGUAUAAACCCAGAUUAGAUGGUCGUGGAGGCUAAAGCUAUUGGCUAUUCCUAGGGGUGGCCAAGCUUUUAGGAGAUUUCCAUUAUGAAUGUCAGCCUGGGAGUUUCAUGUAUUGUUUUUACCUGCUGCUAACACUCACCACUAGAUGCUGGCAAGAUCCCCUGGUGUGGAGGGUAUGAGGUGUGCCGCAUAUCCAUCACCUGCUGGAAUAUAAGAAGGUGGAGCUGUCAGCACUCCAGUACCUGAGUGUUAACCUAUGUGGAAUCCUCAAGUCCUGGUUUCACGCUCUUGCAACCUUCAGCUCUGACUCAAAGUCCUCAGUAUUGGAUCCUGCCUCAGCCUAAGGAUUCUCAAGUCCUGAUUCCAUGCUCAUGCAACCUUCAGCUCUGGCUCAAAGUCCUCAGUGUUGGAUCCCGCUUCAGCCUAAGCAUUCAAACCUCAGAAGAAUCCAAGUUUGGUUCAAUCUCCAGCUGACAGCUCAGUACCAAUUCCUCCAGACAAGCGAACCCAGCUCAACCAACUAAUCACCAAAGACUCAUCAGGUAAAUUAAUCUCCAAAUUAUUCAUACGGAUAUCCAUUGUCAAUACUCACCAAAGCCUCCGCAGAAAAUACUCACUGUCAUCCUGGACUAUUCACCAGUGCCACAGCAGUGUCUGUUCAGUCCUCCCAGGCUUUGUAUAAUUCCUCCACACCAACCCCUCUCAUCAAAGACAGUAAGCUCAAGUCUCAUUUAAUUCCCAGUACUCCGUUCAUCUUCAGAGAACUUACCCGUCCUCCUUUCCCGUGCAGUGCUGUGCCUCCAGUUCCAAUUAAAUUCACAUAUCCUGUCAAAUAAACUUGUUAAACUUUUCUUCUACCUCCUGAGUGUCCUUCUGUUUGUGGGUCAAAUCUAUAAAGAACACUACGACAGAACACCCAGGCCAAUUUGACCCAGCAGAAACACUCAGGAGGACUUUAACCGAACAUAGCCUCCAAAUACAAUCACAGGGAUCUACACUUCAUACCCUCCUGGAACAACAACGGCAUUCCAGUCAACGAUUGGAUCAAAUGGCCUCAAUCCUGCAACACGCCCUGAACCUCCGGACAUCCCAGUCACCAGAGCAAGCCGCUGAGUCAUCUGCCUCACUUCCAGUGUCUCAACAACUUUUGUACUCUCGUGACGUCACCCCACCUAAUCUGGAAAAUUACUCCGGUGAGAUCAGUAAUUGUGGAGGGUUCUUGUUACAAUGUUCAUUGGUGUUUAACCGUUCACCUCAGUGUUUCCCCCAUGACGAUGCUAAAAUUGCAUUUAUUAUAGGAUUGUUAACUGGAAAAGUGCUUCAUUGGGCAGAAGGCAGAUUCACAGACUGUUGUCAAUUCGGUUGCUCUUUUGAUGAAUUUAUUCAGGAAUUUAAACAAACUUUUUGUUCUGAAUUAGAUCAAACUAGUGUGGCCCGGCGCCUGAUGGCGCUAAAACAAGGAAAUAGACCUGUGUCAGAAUAUUCCAUUGAUUUUCGUACUUUGGCAGCAGCAUCUGGCUGGAAAUCCCAUGCUCUUAAAUCUGCCUUUUUUCAAUCUUUGAAUGAACACUUGAAGGAUGAAUUAGCCUUGGUUGAAGAACCCAAGACUUUAAAUGACUAUAUAACACUGGCCAGUCGAAUGGACAAACGCAUGAGAGAAAGAAAGCAUUCUAGAAAAGAGCAGUUUGAUGAUAAGACUUGGCCAUCAGUCCAAUCACAAUUAACCCGCCCACAGAUGAGUGUAAAGUCCCCAGAACCAGAACCCAUGCAGUUGGGGCGCACCCGGUUAACUCCGGAAGAGGAGCAGCGCCGUAGGCACUCUAAUCAGUGUUUAUAUUGUGGUUCUCCAGAUCACUUUGUGACAGCUUGUCCGGUUUGGCCAAAAGAGAGGGUCCGCCACCUUUAAAGGGGGAAAUGCUGGACCAAAAAAUUAACAAAGAAAAAAACCCUAGACUGACCUUGUCAGUGACCCUCCUCCUUCAUCAAGAUCAGUUAAAUCUUUCUGCUCUCAUUGACUCUGGGUGCGAACAAAACUUAAUUGACUAGUCACUUGUACAACAAGCGAAAAUAGCAGUAGAACCCCUGGAUCCUCCCCAUCAAGUCCUUGCUCUUGAUGGAAAACCCUCCAUCAAGUAACUCACCGCACCUUACCUAUAGAGCUAAUAAUUUCUGGCAAUCAUCCUGAAAAAAUAACCUUUUUUGUCUUUCCCAUUUUGUAAAGUUCUCUGGUUUUAGGUUUUCCCUGGUUAUACAAACAGAACCCCCAUCUAAACUGCUCUGAGGGUCGAGUCGAAGCCUGGUCCACUCAUUGUUUAUAGUCAGCCGCCCCUUCCAUUUCCAUUCCGGUCAGUUCAGAGGAGACCGAACCAUCUGAUCUGUCACAACUUCCCGAGGAAUACCUGGACUUAAAACAAGUUUUCAAUAAAUCCAAAGCCACACUUCCACCCCAUCACCCGUAUUACUGUGCUAUUGACCUUCUUCCUGGAGCACCGCUCCCGUCCAGCUGACUUUACAAUAUCUCACGACCAGAAAGGCAAACAAUGGAGAAGUACAUCUCUGAAUCUCUUGCUGCAGCAAUCAUCUGUCAGUCAUCCUCUCCGUUCAAACAGACCUGGAGAUAAGCCUGUGAAACCCGAUGCAUUGUCUCGCCAGUAUUCACCAGAUGACUCAGGUAAACAACCUACCACUAUUAUUCCCCCCAGUUGCAUAGUUGGUUCCCUUUCUUGGGAAAUUGAAAGUAUUGUCAACCAGGCUCUACAAUCCGAACCAGACCCCAGUACCGGUCCACCUAAGCGCACCUAUCUCCCCACAGCAGUUCGUUCUAAACUCAUUCACUGGUUUCAUUCACCUACGUUUUCUGCCCAUCCUGGCACUAGUCGAACCAUCGCUCUCAUCUCACGAAAGGUUUGGUGGCCAUCUGUACAUAAGGAUGUUAAGGAAUAUGUCAAAGCUUGUCAUGUUUUUGCCCACAAUAAAUCCUCUAACCAACCCCCAGCAGGUUUGCUUCAACCUCUCAGCAUCCCUAAAAGACCUUGGUCCCACAUCGGUUUGGAUUUUGUCACCAGCCUUCCAAGUUCACAAGGUAUGACCACCAUCCUGACCAUUAUUGAACGUUUCUCCAAGUCCUGUCACCUUGUGUCUCUUGGAAAACUCCCUUCGGCUCUCCAAACUGCCCAGCUGUUGGUCAAGCACGUUUUUCGUCUACACCGCAUACCUCAAGAAAUCCUCUCUGAUCGUGGCCCGCGAUACAGUGUUGACUCAGAGGGCAUAAACACAGAUAUUCAGAACCCUAUAUUCAGAACCUUCCUUCUACUUGGCUGUAACGUGACAAAAUCUGGAUGGUAGGAAUAGGAAAGAGGUAGGAACACCUUUGCAAAGUAUUGUAUUCAAUAUACUCUAACAAUUAUAUAUUUCAAAACAUGAUAGGUUGAUGAAAGUCUCAAACUAAACCAAGCCUUUGCGGUGAAAAAAAAUGCCACUUUGCAUCCCCUGUCUGUUAAAAGAAAAAAAAUGCACAGAUACACGAAUAUGGAGACACAUCCUAGUCUUGUCUAAGGUGUGGCAGAGAUGUAGACGAGAUAAAAAGGGGGUCACAACAAUGGAGCAGUCAGGAGCAAAGGUGCAGAAAGAUUGAGAGCAGCAUUAAAAAGGAAAAAAUAAAGGGUGUCCUUUUAUUUUCUUCAGCUUGUGUUCCCAAAACGGCACCGCUGAACCAUUAAAUUCUGCGGCAGUCACCUCUCACCCCGCCUCAUGUCUGACACAGAUCGGACUGUGGUGGCUUGACACCGGUAGUGGCCCUUGCCGUUUGUUGUCGAGUAAUGCCUGCUACCAUCAGCCUUGAACCCAUGUGUUCACAGGGGAGCGCACAAAAAGAGGGAGAGAGUGACAUUUUGGAGAAAAUAGGGAGGCACAAAGAGACUGAUUAAAAAAAAGCAUCACAGAAUUUGUGAGGGAUGGGAAAUGGUUGCACUAUUUUAUUUCAAAUACAUUUCUUGUUCUCUGCCUUUGAUGCUCAAGAAGACAGCUUUGCACGAUGAUAGAGAAUAGAAUCGAUUUCUGUGGUUCCGUUUUCAUGAAUAAUCCUACCGCUGCAAACAAUGCAGCAACAGAACUUAAUAUGUGAAACAAAUAAUGGCCCGUCACAGUUUUUUUUGUCUAUCUGACCUAUUUAUAUUUAAGUAAGAAUCUAUUUUACAAAAAAUUACCUUCUUUUUCUCUUACUUUUGUUGAUGGAGCCGCAUACUGGAGGAAAUUUACCUAUUUCUGGUUUAUGGAACACAACAUAAGCUGUUGUGAAUGAGAAACCUCACUUACAUAAGUGGUGAUUUGUUGUUUGCUGAUUUUGGAUAAUAAUUAAACUGCCAUUCUUACUUUGUCUUACUCUGCGAUGAAUCAGUCUGUAUCAUAGUAUGUUUGUUUCCACUCUUACAGUCAGAUGGGGUUCAACUAAAGUGUGAAGGCACCUAUUCUCUGUCAAAGUCAAUGCCUUUGACUUUACAGUGUGAUAUUAGAUUCCAUAGCAUUUUUGAGCAAGUUUACAAGGUUUUGUGACAACCACACAAGCCACUUUGUAACUAAUUUGAAGGUAUCCUGGUGGUAACUGUCCCCUUUGAUACUACCUAUUUUCUGAAAUGCACAAUCCCUCUUGCAUCAAAUCACCCCCAUAACAUGAUGCGGUCACCCCCAUACUUCACAGUUUGGAAGGGACUAUCACCAUAAUAGUUGGUAUGGCCAAACACUUACAUUUAGAUUCCAUUAGACGAUAGGCUAUGUCUCCACAAUUAAGGUAUUUGUCUCCAAGUCCAUUUGCAAACUGGAAUCUGGCUUUUUAAUUGCUUUUGGAAUAAUGGCUACUUCUGCACUAAAUGGCCUUGGGUCCAUGUCGGCCUUUUGGUACAUGUCCCCACUAACUUGAAGUGUUACUUUAAAAUAAGACAUAAGGUGGGUCUCGAUUAGUCUCAAAUGUUGUGAAUUAAGGUAUUAAAAGCUUACAAAGCCAUGACAUCAUCUGAGCUUUCCCAAAUUGCUGCAAGGUUCUUGUGAAUAACAUGAUAUAUUGACAAACAAAACAAAUGACAACAAACAACAUCUUCAUCCCUAAAAUCGAAUAUGCAGAAAGAAAUAUUCUGUCGAUGAUGAAACAAUAAGGACUACAAAUAGUCAUUCAUUUUGUACCAAUCAGUAUAUUUUCUUUUCAUUCUCAUUCACAUCUUUUUAUUUUCCUUCCAUUUUUUCUUACCUUUUUUAGCUUUGAACACUUCCUCCUAUUAAUUUGUAAUUUGUGUGAAGCAACUGGUUGGAGGCAUUCCAUUUUACUCUAAGUAACACUGUGUGAGAUGCACCUCUUCUCAGUCAAUUAAUAGGUCAUGUAGGACAUGAGGACAUGAGUUGGCAAAGUGCCUUCCUCUUUCUAACUAACUGAUAGCAUCACGAGAACAUUUGAUCUUAAGAAUAUUUUAGCUUUCCUAUAUACUAUUGAUUUCCAACCCUCAUUCUUCAUGUCCACUGUUUCCCUGAUUUUUAUGAAUUGGCCAUUACAAGACCACUGCAGCACUUCAUGGCCUCAUAGACCAGGCCUAUGGUUUAUGAGUUUUAGUUUUAUUUUCAGAUAAAAAUUCUAAAUACUAAGGCCAAGAAAACUACCAGUGGUUGUGAUCACAUCAUUUUCCCUCUACUUUUAGGUAACAAUAGGUUACCUUUUAUAACUUAAACUUUUUCGGUCCAAAAAGUGCAAAUUUCAGACUGUAUUUGUUAAGUUUACAAUAUUAUGUCAGUCACAGCCUUUGAGGUGACUGGAAUUUUGACAGGUAUGCCCACAGACACAGUGUGUUCUAACAAAACAUGUCUAUCUCCAGCGCUGAUUGGGCGACAAGUGGGGUACACCCUGGACUGGUUGCCACUCCAUCACAGGGCAACAAUGAGUCACACAGGACAAACAACCAUGAAUCCACAUACACACUCACACAUAAGGGAAAUUUAGAGUAACCAGUUAACCUAACCGUCAUGUUUUUGGACUGUGGGAGGAAGCUGGAGUUUAUUCAACACAUGGAGUCAGGUAAAUCAUAUGAUGCUCUGUUUGACCACACAUUUUGAAACUGAUUCCAAGAUAGAGCAGCUUGCAGAUCACUCAUAUCUUCAGCAAGUCUCUAGAGCUGUCUGAGGUUUCCAUGUGCUUCAGAAGCUCCACCAUCAUUCUAUUUCCAAAAAAACGCAUUAUCAUGGGGUAAAUGACUACAGAUUUGUCGCCCUUAUGUCUGUGGUCAGUUUCUGGUGUUGUCACAGACUGUCAAUUACCAGGUUGAUGCAGUCAAUCUGGUGCUACACUUCAUCCUGCACCACCUUGAACAUCCAGGGACAUACACCAGGAUCGUGUUUGUAGCCUUCAGCGUGUCCUUCAACACCUUAAACCCAGACAUCCUCCACCAGAAGCUGAUCCAACUCAAAGUACUGGCUUCCUCCUGUCAGGAGCUAACCAGCUUCCUGACUAAUUGACAGCAGCAGGUGAGGCUGGGGAGCAUCUUCUUCCACACAAUGACCAUCAGCACCAGUACCCCCUCAGGGAUGUGUUCUAUCUCCACUCCCCUUCUUCCUGUACACAAGUGACUGAGCCUCAGUAGACCUGUCUGUGAAACUCCUGAGGUUUGCAGAUGACACCACUGUUAUUGGUCAAAACAGUGGAGAUGAUGGUGGACUUCAGGAGAAUACUCUCCACAUCCUUCACCACCUUCAACAACACUGUCUGCUGUGGAUCACUUCCAGUUUCUAGGAACCACCCUUUCUAGGGACCUGAGAUGUUCCUCACACAGAGAUACUGUAUGGAAAUAGGCCCAGGAGAGCCUAAACUUCUGGCUGCAAUUCAAGUACAACCUUUCACAUGAGCUGCUGGUCUUUUUCUACACUGUGUGGUUUGCCUCAUACACAAAGCAGGACAGGUCCAAACUACAACAAACAAUUAGGUCUGCAGAGAGGAUUAUGCAGACUGACCAUUCCUCCUUUCUUGACUUGUACAGGUCUAGGGUCAGGAAAAGGGUAACUACCAUCUCUGCAGAUCCCAUACAUUCUGGAUACAAGCUAUCUAGACUUUUACCUUCAGGUUUGCACUACAGAGUGCUAUUUGCAAAAACCAGAAGCCACAGAGACAGUUUCUUUCCUCUUUCUUUAAUGAACACUUAACAGAGUGGUUGAUACCAUGCAUAUUUGCACAAUUGAAUCAUGUUAUUCCUUCAGGUAAAAACACUGUAUAUGUAGUAAAAAUACUUUUAUUUCCCUUUGAUAUUUCAGAAAAAAAAAUUUCCUCAUUGAGAACAAGUGUUUGUGUGCAGAAACUUGGCAAAUAAAGCUGAUUCUGAAAAACACAACAAAACUACUGAAGACUUCUACAGCCACCUGUCAUCCAUUUUGUGGCAGCAUUUACAUCGGAUGUAACAUUAUUGCACAAGAAAUUGUCAGUAUUUUUUUCAUUAAAAACUGAGAAUUGGGAAUUUG
Molecule: long non-coding RNA, 8036 nt
Organism: Girardinichthys multiradiatus
Lineage: Eukaryota; Metazoa; Chordata; Actinopteri; Cyprinodontiformes; Goodeidae
Exons: 2
Source: RefSeq, a predicted model, not a curated record